ACGCUCGACACCUACGGGGGGCAGCAGUGGGGAAUAUUGCACAAUGGGGGAAACCCUGAUGCAGCGACGCCGCGUGAGUGAAGAAGUAUUUCGGUAUGUAAAGCUCUAUCAGCAGGGAAGAAAAUGACGGUACCUGAGUAAGAAGCCCCGGCUAACUACGUGCCAGAAGCCGCGGUAAUCUGAGCGGGCUGGCAAGGC
This 198-nucleotide ribosomal RNA is filed under the name uncultured bacterium. RNAcentral describes it as "partial 16S ribosomal RNA". It matches the Rfam family "Bacterial small subunit ribosomal RNA", at positions 328 to 539 of the family's 1533-position model. The record is from RNAcentral.